GGGGGUGAUUAGGAUUCGACGGGGAUAGUUGAGACCAAAGCCGCAGGCCGAGCGACCCAGUGACUCGUUAAUCCAUAGGGACUAAACAUAAAAGCAGACUCUUACGAGUACGCACUGGCUGCAUAGCCAGCGUCCCUGGGGGCAUGUGGCCCGCAGAUUCUCAGGGGCGUAGCCAAAUGGGCUGGUCAUUUCAGGGGGCAACUUGACUGAGAUGAUGAGAAAUUCAAGAUGCUGGCUCCAAGGCCACCUGUCCGCUGGCAGCUGAGGAGUGAGAAUUAAUAACGGAACAAGCCUGUAGACACUUUGGGGGAAGAUCUUCGGACGCGGGUUCAAUUCCCGCCACCUCCACCA
RNAcentral lists this transfer-messenger RNA (351 nucleotides) under Deltaproteobacteria bacterium. It matches the Rfam family "transfer-messenger RNA". Rfam says of the family: Bacterial tmRNA, also known as 10Sa RNA or SsrA, is named for its dual tRNA and mRNA-like properties. Its role is to liberate the mRNA from a stalled ribosome. To accomplish this part of the tmRNA is used as a reading frame that ends in a translation stop signal. The record is from RNAcentral. Lineage: Bacteria; Pseudomonadati; Myxococcota; Myxococcia.